RNAcentral lists this ribosomal RNA (450 nucleotides) under Catonella morbi. RNAcentral's name for it is "bacterial SSU rRNA". It matches the Rfam family "Bacterial small subunit ribosomal RNA", at positions 28 to 458 of the family's 1533-position model. The record is from RNAcentral. Lineage: Bacteria; Bacillati; Bacillota; Clostridia; Lachnospirales; Lachnospiraceae.
GAUGAACGCUGGCGGCGUGCCUAACACAUGCAAGUCGAACGGAGAUUACGGACGGAAGUUUUCGGAUGGAAGCCUGUAAUUCUUAGUGGCGGACGGGUGAGUAACGCGUGGGCAACCUGCCCUAUACAGGGGGAUAGCAGCUGGAAACGGCUGGUAAGACCGCAUAAGUCGGUUAAAUCGCAUGAUUUGAUCGGGAAAUGAGCAAUCAGGUAUAGGAUGGGCCCGCGUCCGAUUAGCCAGUUGGCAGGGUAAAAGCCUACCAAAGCGACGAUCGGUAGCCGGACUGAGAGGUCGGACGGCCACAUUGGGACUGAGACACGGCCCAAACUCCUACGGGAGGCAGCAGUGGGGGAUAUUGCACAAUGGAGGAAACUCUGAUGCGGCGACGCCGCGUGAGUGAAGAAGUAUUUCGGUAUGUAAAGCUCUAUCAGCAGGGAAGAGAGACGGUAC